GUCCUCACCUUACCACCUUGGACAUACUCAAUUCCUUCUGUUGUUGGAAGCUAAGCAGGGUCAGGCCUUGUUAGUACUUGAGUGGGAGAAAUACUGAGAGACACAGUGAUGACU
Molecule: ribosomal RNA, 114 nt
Filed under: Nannospalax galili (Upper Galilee mountains blind mole rat)
Lineage: Eukaryota; Metazoa; Chordata; Mammalia; Rodentia; Spalacidae
Source: RNAcentral